Molecule: ribosomal RNA, 750 nt
Filed under: Micromonospora zamorensis
Lineage: Bacteria; Bacillati; Actinomycetota; Actinomycetes; Micromonosporales; Micromonosporaceae
Description: bacterial SSU rRNA
Rfam family: Bacterial small subunit ribosomal RNA
Source: RNAcentral
CGAACGGGUGAGUAACACGUGAGCAACCUGCCCCAAGCUUUGGGAUAACCCUCGGAAACGGGGGCUAAUACCGAAUAGGACUUCCGGCCGCAUGGCUGGGGGUGGAAAGUUUUUCGGCUUGGGAUGGGCUCGCGGCCUAUCAGCUUGUUGGUGGGGUGAUGGCCUACCAAGGCGACGACGGGUAGCCGGCCUGAGAGGGCGACCGGCCACACUGGGACUGAGACACGGCCCAGACUCCUACGGGAGGCAGCAGUGGGGAAUAUUGCACAAUGGGCGGAAGCCUGAUGCAGCGACGCCGCGUGAGGGAUGACGGCCUUCGGGUUGUAAACCUCUUUCAGCAGGGACGAAGCGAGAGUGACGGUACCUGCAGAAGAAGCACCGGCCAACUACGUGCCAGCAGCCGCGGUAAGACGUAGGGUGCGAGCGUUGUCCGGAUUUAUUGGGCGUAAAGAGCUCGUAGGCGGCUUGUCGCGUCGACCGUGAAAACUUGGGGCUCAACCCCAAGCCUGCGGUCGAUACGGGCAGGCUAGAGUUCGGUAGGGGAGACUGGAAUUCCUGGUGUAGCGGUGAAAUGCGCAGAUAUCAGGAGGAACACCGGUGGCGAAGGCGGGUCUCUGGGCCGAUACUGACGCUGAGGAGCGAAAGCGUGGGGAGCGAACAGGAUUAGAUACCCUGGUAGUCCACGCUGUAAACGUUGGGCGCUAGGUGUGGGGGACCUCUCCGGUUUCCUGUGCCGCAGCUAACGCAUUA